CCACACACUACGAACACAAGAGGAUCUCUUGCACCCUCGGCCCACUUUCACUCCGCUGACGCGCGAUGGCGGCGCGAACGGGUCCGAGGAAGCGACCGUGUGUGACGCGCCGCAUCAGCUAAUUGAUGGAAAUAUCUCUACCUGGUCACAUUGAGAAAAUGUCUAUUCAUCUUCAUCUACACUUGAAUAGGGGCCACUUUGAAUCCUGUUCACGUUGGAUGCAUGUAAAGAUGAAAUGCAAAACAGUAAAUGGAACUGUAAUACAAUCUUUUUGCAAGGAUGAGAACGUUUAAAAUACCAGAAGAAAAUCAAUGGUGGAAAAUGGUGGUUACUAUUUUUAUGUCUUGCUAUAUUUCUCUACUGAGAAAAAUGUAUUUCCAAAAACAUUUUACUUUUGUACAUUUUAAACAUAUGAUGUAUUAUUAUGGCUUUAACAUGCACAUAUCAUUUAUGUUAAUCCAGUUACAAUUGGAUUAAAAUAACGUAGCACCCUAAAUUGAUUUCAUUUUUCGUGUCAUUACUUUUAAAUACAUUUGGUCAAGAAACAUAUGGACUUGUAUUGUUACAUAUACUUUUACCUAAAAAAUGUAUAUUCCACCGCCGUACCUUGCACACUGCGACCUGUACCCUGCACUCUGUAAAGCCAUAUAAUGGUGCAUACUUAUUGAUUGCCAUACUAUCAACCAUGUUAAUGAUGCAAUGUUUUUCAU
Molecule: long non-coding RNA, 710 nt
Organism: Gasterosteus aculeatus aculeatus (three-spined stickleback)
Lineage: Eukaryota; Metazoa; Chordata; Actinopteri; Perciformes; Gasterosteidae
Source: Ensembl